UGGGGAAUUUUGCACAAUGGGGGAAACCCUGAUGCAGCGACGCCGCGUGAUUUAGAAGGCCUUCGGGUUGUAAAAAUCUUUUCUAUGGGAAGAAAAUGACAGUACCAUAGGAAUAAGGACCGGCUAAUUACGUGCCAGCAGCCGCGGUAAUACGUAAGGUCCGAGCGUUGUCCGGAAUCAUUGGGCGUAAAGGGUACGUAGGCGGGUAAGCAAGUUAGAAGUGAAAUCCUAUAGCUCAACUAUAGUAAGCUUUUAAAACUGCUCAUCUUGAGGUAUGGAAGGGAAAGUGGAAUUCCUGGUGUAGCGGUGAAAUGCGCAGAUAUUAGGAGGAAUACCAGUGGCGAAGGCGACUUUCUGGCCAUAACCUGACGCUGAGGUACGAAAGCGUGGGUAGCAAACAGG
Molecule: ribosomal RNA, 402 nt
Filed under: bacterium
Lineage: Bacteria
Description: partial 16S ribosomal RNA
Rfam family: Bacterial small subunit ribosomal RNA
Source: RNAcentral